Molecule: long non-coding RNA, 3428 nt
Organism: Fukomys damarensis (Damara mole-rat)
Lineage: Eukaryota; Metazoa; Chordata; Mammalia; Rodentia; Bathyergidae
Exons: 8
Source: RefSeq, a predicted model, not a curated record
GGAGAAAGGCUUUGCUUGACAGUGGCUGGCACUGUCUUUCUGGCUGCAGAGUGAGCAACAGCAGAGCUGCCUCUGUACCUGCUACUUCUGCCAGGAGGCUGUCUCUCCUGGGACGAGCUGUACACGGCAGUGAUGAUGGCACCUGCCCCGGGAUGAAAGCAAACUGGUCCAUGCAGCAUGCUCAGUCCAGAAUGAUCCUCAGGGUGGAGUCCCAGUCAGGAUAACACCACCUGAUGAUGGCUCUGUCCUCCCACAGCCUGCUGGACAGAGAUAAAAGUGCAUGUGAAUCCAGGCUUCAAAAUUCAUCCAGAAGAUUUUCAUUCUGAGUAUGCUAAGAACCAGCAGCCCAUGGAGAUAAGGUCACAGUGUCUGGAAGCCAUCUUAAGUUCCCUGUGGGGGCUGAGAGCAGACACUUGGAGAGUUAGGCAGAGUGCUUACACAUUACACCACAUCUGCAAGUGGGGUGGUGAAACCAGCUGCUGUUCCUCCUUCCCGGAAGCCACCAGAUCAGGUCUCACAGGUUUCCAGCUGGAGUUGGAGAUCCAGUGCCCUCUCUCGCAUCCACUGUGAUUAGGAUGGCUCUGUGGACUCCCAUAAGCAUCAUUUCAGAGAGAGUGGAUGGGAUGAGCUAGCCAGGGAUUUAGAAUCCCCAGACCCUGCUCCAGUUACAGAAGGAUUGAACAUCUUUUCUUUGCCUCUGCUAGAGGCAAUCCCAGGCAAGUGGGAUGGGAAGGCAGGCUGUAGAAUGUGUGUCACUGGGAAGCAACAUAAGCAGCUGGAGCCUAACCCCACUGGAGAGUGCUGGGAGCCCUUGUAGACUUCACCUUGGAGCAAACCUAAAUAUCCCUGAGGCAAAUGAAUGCCUCUGGCAGAGUAAGGAGGAGAUCAGAGUGAACAAAUGCAAAAGGUCCAUAGGUCUUGAGAAAAGAAUCAUCUACAUGGCACAGUAGGCCUCUGCAGGAUGUGUCUUGGAAUCUUGGAGUGACUGCACACUAAAUGACGUGAGAAGGCUAGAACUGCCACAGCAGGUGAUAGAAGAGGAACUGAUAGGCUCGGAGAAGUGGACAUGCUUAGGAUGGCUAGGAAAGUCCUGACUGGAGACACACUGUGGAAGAGCCUGGAAGGAACACUGAUCUCACAAGCGGCAAGAGAUGUCCGGGUAAGAGAGCGUUACUAAGGAACCCCAAGGUAGCCUCCUUCCUCUUGGGAAGCUUAGACUAGGAGACACUGCCAAGAAAUUGAACUCCCUAUAGCCAUGGAAGCAAUAAGGCCCGGAAAUAUUGAAGACCAGGUGGUGGUGUGGAACAGCUCAAAGCAAAGUGAAUGCAAUGUCAAUGACCAUAACAGACAAUGUGGUUGGAUGGCAAUCAGAGGGGCCUGGGCUACAGACAGCUGUGGAAGCAAUUCAUGAAGCAAGUGUUCCUGGGAACAGGGACGGAGAGCCAAAAAGCGGCUGGCUUCAUCUAUAAAGCCAAAAGAAGUACCCCAUGUAAACAUUUUGCAGAGUCUCACACUGGUCCACUGUAUUGGUAACAUGUUCACCAGACAUAAUGAGUAAGAAGUGGAGGGUAUAUUGGAGAUCUUGCAAAACAUGAGUAUUCUAGAGAAGGAGAUAAACCUAAUGAAGAUCCAGGUUUCUAGAUAAUCUGGGAUGCAUCAAGAUAUCUUAAAUAGGCACAUUAUGGGUGCUUGGUCACCUCAGAACUAAGAAGGAAACACAAUGUCUGCAAGCCCUCCAGGGCUUCUGGUACAAUAUAUGCCAUAUUUGUGCAUGACUUUUGUUCUAUACAUGAGUGACACAAAUGUUACUAGCUUUCAAGGAGGCCCAGCACAUAAGACAACUGUGCAAUAGGUGUGUAACAAGGUGCAGAUGCCUUGGAUCUCGGCCACACAACCCUCCAUGAAGACAGUGCCAGCUAUUUCAGGGGUGGGAAAAGACAUCUCGUGGAGUGUAUAGCAAGGUAUGGUAAAGGGAUUGUGACAUAGAUCCCUGGGGUUCUGGAGUAAGGCCUUGCCUUGUACAGUGGAGAACUAUGCACUAUACAUAGGCCACUUCUAUGACAUUUAGUGGCUCCAGUAGAGGCACAGUGCCUGACUAUGUGGCCAAUACUGUCCCUUGUUGAGUUCAGAUCUGUCAGAAUUACAAGGCAGAAAGUAGGGUGGGCCAGACAGCAAUCCACUGUAAAACAAAGGUGGCCCUUCUGGCAUUGGAAUAUGUUUGGCUAGAAAGUAAACAGAAUUAUCAUGCAGUUCAGAUUCCAACACUGUUGAGUCCAAGCCACUUCCUCAGCUCAUAGCUUUGGCCAAAAGAAGGUCUCAGUGAUCAGCCAAUGGAGGGGGAAAUUUAAUUUAUGAAUAUUUUUGAUUAUAUAAAGAUUCAAAAUGGACUAACUCUGUACUACAGCUUCACUCAGGGUGGCCCUAAAGAGAGAAGAAGGUGGCCAUUCUCCCAAGGAUCAAUUUUGGGUAGUUUAGUUGGAAAUUUACUUAGUGUGAAGAAGUAGCUUGAUCUAAGAAUAUUCAUGAAUUUGUGGGUAAGAUGUGUGAGUUGGCUGGCUGAUCAGGACUCUCACAGCAGCUAAGGAAUGGAUGAUUUGGGUUUGUGACCCAGCCAGUUGCACUGUGUGCAUCCUGGGACUCUGGUUCAGAGGAUGCCAUAAGGUUUCUAGAAAAUAAAAGAUGACAUUGAGGUCAAAUUCAUUAGUCAUACUGGCUAACAGGAUAAACAGAUUUCUUUACCUUGGAUGACUGGGGAGGUCUCUGCAUCAUAUGAAAGCCAUGAUGCCCAGAGCCUACUGUAAGGAAGCCUGUGCUUGUUUCUCCUUGGCAGUGGCCUGUAUGGGCUGUGCGGACAGGUAGCAGCACCUGGCACCUGCAUGUCCUUAUGUGAUCAGAGACUGAGUUGUGCAAAUGGGCGGAGUACUUCCCUGCUCAGACAAAGCUUUCUGCUCUAGAAGUUUGCUUCUCUUACCAAAUCAGGAAACAAAAUCAGAUUUUUUUUCCUUUGUAAACAUUAUUUUACAUUUUUAUUAUAACUCUUGAUACAUAUUAAUUGUAAAAUUAAUGGAAUUCUCUGUAAAAUUAAUGGAUAUAUGUAUGCAGCAUGAAUUGAUUUCUCACUGAACUGUGUGCUUACUGGUGCUUUCUACAAGGGAAAGGAGAAGGGUUGCUAAGUCAUCCGAGGUGCCAGGACUUUGUCCACUGGGUUUAAUUCCCCCCUGUAAAUUGAGCCCUCACCUGUCAAUGGUAUAUGUUGCCCAGAAUGCUUACUAAAACCUGUAUUUUAGGUUUGUCCUGUUUUCAUUUUUUGGCAGUUUAUCCCAUUAGGAAUAGUCAUAGUAAUAUGUUGAGUACUCAAGGAAACAGCUUCUUAAAUAUCUAGUGAUGAUAUUUUUAUGCAAAACGCUAAGCAAUGCACUACUAAUUGG